GAUGAACGCUAGCUACAGGCUUAACACAUGCAAGUCGAGGGGCAGCAUGGUCUUAGCUUGCUAAGGCCGAUGGCGACCGGCGCACGGGUGAGUAACACGUAUCCAACCUGCCGUCUACUCUUGGACAGCCUUCUGAAAGGAAGAUUAAUACAAGAUGGCAUCAUGAGUCCGCAUGUUCACAUGAUUAAAGGUGUUCCGGUAGACGAUGGGGAUGCGUUCCAUUAGAUAGUAGGCGGGGUAACGGCCCACCUAGUCUUCGAUGGAUAGGGGUUCUGAGAGGAAGGUCCCCCACAUUGGUACUGAGACACGGACCAA
This 315-nucleotide ribosomal RNA is filed under the name uncultured bacterium. RNAcentral's name for it is "bacterial SSU rRNA". It matches the Rfam family "Bacterial small subunit ribosomal RNA", at positions 28 to 334 of the family's 1533-position model. The record is from RNAcentral.